RNAcentral lists this ribosomal RNA (698 nucleotides) under uncultured bacterium. RNAcentral describes it as "bacterial SSU rRNA". It matches the Rfam family "Bacterial small subunit ribosomal RNA", at positions 94 to 801 of the family's 1533-position model. The record is from RNAcentral.
AGCGGCGAAAGGGAUAGUAAUUCGCAGAUACCUGCCCUCUGGACGGGGAUAACUUUGGGAAACUGAAGUUAAUACCCGAUAAAAUCUUCGGAUCAAAGGUGCGAUUCCGCCGGAGGAGGGGUUUGCGUCCUAUCAGGUAGAUGGUGAGGUAACGGCUCACCAUGCCAAUGACGGGUAGCGGGUGUGAGAGCAUGACCCGCAUCACUGGGACUGAGACACUGCCCAGACACCUACGGGUGGCUGCAGUCGAGAAUCUUCGUCAAUGGACGAAAGUCUGAACGAGCGAUGCCGCGUGCGGGAGGAAGGUCUUCGGAUUGUAAACCGCUGUCAGUAAUUUUGGAAAUGCUAGGUGGCAAUCCACCUAGUUUGACCUGGUUUCAGAGGAAGGACGGGCUAAGUUCGUGCCAGCAGCCGCGGUAAUACGAACCGUCCCAACGUUAUUCGGAAUCACUGGGCUUACAGGGUGCGUAGGCUGUUGUUUAAGUCAGGUGUGAAAUCCCUCGGCUCAACCGAGGAACUGCAUUUGAUACUGUACAACUUGAGGGAGAUAGGGGUGAGCGGAACUGAGAGUGGAGCGGUGAAAUGCGUUGAUAUUCUCAGGAACACCGGUGGCGAAAGCGGCUCACUGGAUCUUUUCUGACGCUGAGGCACGAAAGCUAGGGUAGCGAACGGGAUUAGAUACCCCGGUAGUCCUAGCC